UACGUAGGGUGCGAGCGUUGUCCGGAAUUAUUGGGCGUAAAGGGCUCGUAGGCGGUUUGUCACGUCGGGAGUGAAAACUCGGGGCUUAACCCCGAGCCUGCUUCCGAUACGGGCAGACUAGAGGUAUGCAGGGGAGAACGGAAUUCCUGGUGUAGCGGUGAAAUGCGCAGAUAUCAGGAGGAACACCGGUGGCGAAGGCGGUUCUCUGGGCAUUACCUGACGCUGAGGAGCGAAAGUGUGGGGAGCGAACAGU
This 253-nucleotide ribosomal RNA is filed under the name uncultured bacterium. Its description in RNAcentral is "partial 16S ribosomal RNA". It matches the Rfam family "Bacterial small subunit ribosomal RNA", at positions 524 to 776 of the family's 1533-position model. The record is from RNAcentral.